UUCUUGAAAAUUAAAGAUUUUGGCGGUAUUUUAGUCUAUUCAGAGGAACCUGUUCUGUAAUUGAUAAUCCACGAUUAAAUUUACUUUUUUUUAAAAUUUGUAUAUCGUCGUUAAUUAGAAUAUUUUAUAAGAAUAUUAAUAUUCAAAAUUUAUUAUAAUAGAGUAAAUCAGAUCAAGGUGCAGUUUAUAUUAAAGAAGAAAUGGGUUACAUUAAAUAAAUUUUAGGAUUAUUAUUAUUAUAGUAAUAUGAAUUUGGAUUUGAGGGUAAAUUUAAUUAGUUAAUUAAGUUGAUUUAAGCUCUAAAAUAUGUACAUAUCGCCCGUCGCUUUCAUUUUAUUUUGAAAUAAGUCGUAACAAAGUAGAUUUACUGGAAAGUGAAUCUAGAAAGAUCGAAUUAGAGCUUGGCAUAAGUAUUUUAUUUACAUUAAAAAGAAAAUUGUUAAUUCAAUUUAAUUUGAAAUUUUAUAAUUAUUUAUUAUUUAGGUUUUUUUUAUUUAAAGUAAAAAAAUUAAGGUUUAAUUAUUAUUAAGAAAAAAUUUAAUUUAUAAUAGUUAAUUAGUAUUGUGAAAAAAAUUUAAAAAUUAAUUAAAAAAAAAAAUUAUUUUUUGUACCUUGUGCAUCAGGGUUUAUUAAUUAAGUAUUAUAUAUUUAGUUAUUCCGAAGUUAAAAGAGCUAAAAAAAUAUUUCUUUUAUUGUGAAAUAAAUAUUGAUAAUAUUUUUUUAGUAAUGAAACGUUAUUCGUUUUUAAAUAUAUCUGAUUUUUUAAGAAAUAAAUUUAAUUUAUUUAUUAUUAAUAAAAUUUUAAAUUUAAAGUUUUUUAUUAGUAAUAUUAAAUAUUUUCGGGGAUGAGCUUGAAAAUAAAAUAUUAAUAAUUUAUUUAUUUAAUAAAGUUGUAGAAUUAGAAGUUUUUAUCAAUAAAAAAAUGUUAAAAUUAAUUUAUUUAUCAAUAUUAUUUUUAUAAAUUAUAGGUUUUUUAUUAAAAUGUUAAUUUUAAUUUUUAAUAUUAAGUAAUAAUGAUAGAAUUAGUAUAAUUAUCUGUAAUUAAAUAAAAAAUUUUAGGUUAAUUUAAGGAAUUCGGCAAAUAAUUUUCUACCUGUUUAUUAAAAACAUGUCCUUUUGAUAUUAAUUUAAGGUCUGGCCUGCCCACUGAAAUUUAAAUGGCCGUGGUAUUUUGACCGUGCUAAGGUAGCAUAAUCAUUAGUUUCUUAAUUAGAAACUGGAAUGAAAGGUUGGAUAAGAAAAUAACUGUCUCUGAUUAAAUUUGUUAUAAUUUUAUUUUUAAGUUAAAAAGCUUAAGUUUAGUUAAAAGACGAGAAGACCCUAUAGAGUUUAAUUAUUUAUUAAUUUUAUUUAUUUUAGAAUUUAU
This 1366-nucleotide ribosomal RNA is filed under the name Polyphaga sp. 'Parosides' NLG-2014. Its description in RNAcentral is "partial 16S ribosomal RNA". Lineage: Eukaryota; Metazoa; Arthropoda; Insecta; Coleoptera. The record is from RNAcentral.